AACACNNNAACUCCCCUUUCUUUUUUGAAAUGGGAGCUGGACUUGAGUGAUCCCAACGCUUUUCUCACCGAAAAGUGGCGGGUUACUUGAAAUGCAGGUGCAGCUGGACUUUUCUCUGAGCUAAAAGCAUAUCUAUUUAGUCUGCCUAAAAAACAGAUUAUUACCUUUGCUGCAGCUAACAUAAAGGAGAUUAGUUCUUGUGCUGACUGAUGCAGGAUUCACAGAGANAGNNNNGGCUGGCUUUGUAA
Molecule: unclassified non-coding RNA, 248 nt
Filed under: uncultured Mortierella
Lineage: Eukaryota; Fungi; Mortierellomycota; Mortierellomycetes; Mortierellales; Mortierellaceae
Description: sequence contains ITS2
Source: RNAcentral